This 613-nucleotide ribosomal RNA is filed under the name uncultured Pseudomonadota bacterium. RNAcentral's name for it is "bacterial SSU rRNA". It matches the Rfam family "Bacterial small subunit ribosomal RNA", at positions 46 to 648 of the family's 1533-position model. Lineage: Bacteria; Pseudomonadati; Pseudomonadota. The record is from RNAcentral.
GCCUAACACAUGCAAGUCGAACGGUAACGGGAAGCAGCUUGCUGCUUCGCUGACGAGUGGCGGACGGGUGAGUAAUGUCUGGGAAGCUGCCUGAUGGAGGGGGAUAACUACUGGAAACGGUAGCUAAUACCGCAUAAUGUCGCAAGACCAAAGAGGGGGACCUUCGGGCCUCUUGCCAUCGGAUGUGCCCAGAUGGGAUUAGCUUGUUGGUGGGGUAACGGCUCACCAAGGCGACGAUCCCUAGCUGGUCUGAGAGGAUGACCAGCCACACUGGAACUGAGACACGGUCCAGACUCCUACGGGAGGCAGCAGUGGGGAAUAUUGCACAAUGGGCGCAAGCCUGAUGCAGCCAUGCCGCGUGUAUGAAGAAGGCCUUCGGGUUGUAAAGUACUUUCAGCGGGGAGGAAGGGAGUAAAGUUAAUACCUUUGCUCAUUGACGUUACCCGCAGAAGAAGCACCGGCUAACUCCGUGCCAGCAGCCGCGGUAAUACGGAGGGUGCAAGCGUUAAUCGGAAUUACUGGGCGUAAAGCGCACGCAGGCGGUUUGUUAAGUCAGAUGUGAAAUCCCCGGGCUCAACCUGGGAACUGCAUCUGAUACUGGCAAGCUUGAGUC